CUACGUGCCAGCAGCCGCGGUAAUACGUAGGGCGCAAGCGUUGUCCGGAAUUAUUGGGCGUAAAGAGCUCGUAGGCGGCUGGUCGCGUCUGUCGUGAAAACUUCCGGCUCAACCGGGGGCUUGCGGUGGGUACGGGCCGGCUAGAGUGCGGUAGGGGUAACUGGAACUCCUGGUGUAGCGGUGGAAUGCGCAGAUAUCAGGAGGAACACCGAUGGCGAAGGCAGGUCUCUGGGCUGUAACUGACGCUGAGAAGCGAAAGCAUGGGGAGCGAACAGGAUUAGAUACCCUGGUAGUCCAUGCCGUAAACGUUGGGCACUAGGUGUGGGGGACAUUCCACGUUUUCCGCGCCGUAGCUAACGCAUUAAGUGCCCCGCCUGGGGAGUACGGCCGCAAGGCUAAAACUCAAAGAAAUUGACGGGGGCCCGCACAAGCGGCGGAGCAUGCGGAUUAAUUCGAUGCAACGCGAAGAACCUUACCAAGGCU
This 483-nucleotide ribosomal RNA is filed under the name uncultured bacterium. RNAcentral's name for it is "bacterial SSU rRNA". It matches the Rfam family "Bacterial small subunit ribosomal RNA", at positions 501 to 981 of the family's 1533-position model. The record is from RNAcentral.